GUAGGGUCCAAGCGUUAAUCGGAAUUACUGGGCGUAAAGCGUGCGCAGGCGGUUGUGCAAGACCGAUGUGAAAUCCCCGAGCUUAACUUGGGAAUUGCAUUGGUGACUGCACGGCUAGAGUGUGUCAGAGGGGGGUAGAAUUCCACGUGUAGCAGUGAAAUGCGUAGAGAUGUGGAGGAAUACCGAUGGCGAAGGCAGCCCCCUGGGAUAACACUGACGCUCAUGCACGAAAACGUGGGGAGCAAACAGGAUUAGAUACCCUGGUAGUUCACGCCCUAAACGC
Molecule: ribosomal RNA, 283 nt
Filed under: uncultured bacterium
Lineage: Bacteria
Description: partial 16S ribosomal RNA
Rfam family: Bacterial small subunit ribosomal RNA
Source: RNAcentral